This 232-nucleotide ribosomal RNA is filed under the name uncultured bacterium. RNAcentral's name for it is "partial 16S ribosomal RNA". It matches the Rfam family "Bacterial small subunit ribosomal RNA", at positions 118 to 347 of the family's 1533-position model. The record is from RNAcentral.
UGAGUAACCUGCCCUUCACUCUGGGAUAACUCCGGGAAACCGGGGCUAAUACUGGAUAUGACUCGAACAGGCAUCUGUUUCGGGUGGAAAGAUUUAUUGGUGGAGGAUGGACUCGCGGCCUAUCAGCUUGUUGGUGAGGUAAUGGCUCACCAAGGCGACGACGGGUAGCCGGCCUGAGAGGGUGACCGGCCACACUGGGACUGAGACACGGCCCAGACUCCCGACGGGAGCA